CGAAAGGGAAUCAAACUGUGAGGGAAUCCUGAGUACCGCGGGACACGUGAAACCCCGUGGGAAGCAGGGAGGACCACCUCCCAAGGCUAAAUACUUCUUAGCGACCGAUAGCGAACAAGUACCGUGAGGGAAAGGUGAAAAGCACCUCGGAAGAGGAGUGAAAGAGAACCUGAAACCGUGCGCUUACAAGCAGUCAGAGCUCGAGGUUCGUGGUUCGAGAUUCGAAAUUCGAUGAAUGUGUUCUUAUGAAGCGAUAAAACGAGGUGCGACGAAGUCGUAUUUCGGGUCAAGACCGCAGAGGAAUACAAAAAAUCGAACAUCGUACAUCGAACCACGAACUUCGAGUCAUGGCGUGCCUUUUGUAGAAUGAACCGGCGAGUUAUGGUAUGUAGCGAGGUUAAGGCGAGAAGCUGGAGCCGAAGCGAAAGCGAGUCUGAAAAGGGCGACGAGUUACAUGCUGUAGACCCGAAACCGUGUGAUCUACCCAUGGCCAGGGUGAAGGUGGGGUAAAACCUACUGGAGGCCCGAACUCACUGUCGUUGAAAAGGCAGGGGAUGAGCUGUGGGUAGGGGUGAAAUGCCAAUCGAACACGGAGAUAGCUGGUUCUCCCCGAAAUAGCUUUAGGGCUAGCCUCAAUUGAUGAGCAAUGGCGGUAGAGCACUGAAUAGGCUAGGGGCCUUACCAGGUUACCGAACCUUAUCAAACUCCGAAUGCCAUUGGAUUUAGAUUGGGAGUCAGACUGUGGGGGAUAAGCUUCAUAGUCGAAAGGGAAACAGCCCAGACCAUCAGCUAAGGUCCCUAAGUAUACACUAAGUGGGAAAGGAUGUGGAAUUGCACAGACAACCAGGAUGUUGGCUCAGAAGCAGCCACCAUUUAAAGAGUGCGUAAUAGCUCACUGGUCGAGUGGUUCUGCGCCGAAAAUGUAACGGGGCUCAAGUGUAUCACCGAAGCUAUGGCUUUAUCGAGGUUCGAGAUUCGAGAUUCGAAGUUCGAAAGAGGGAAAGCGAUGAUUAAAAGCUACAAGGACUUAGAAGUCUAUAAAAAGUCUUAUGAGACAGCUUUGAAACUACAUCGAAUGACCUUAGAAUAUUUCCAAAGCAUGAGUUAUAUGAACUAGGAAGUCAGAUGCGUAGAGCAGCAACAUCCAUUCCUCUGAAUAUAGCAGAGGGAUAUGGACGAAAAAGCACUGCAGCUGAUUUUAAGGCCUUCUUAAGAAUUGCCUUGGGAUCAUGUAAUGAAGUGAUGGUAUUGAUAGAAAUGAUCAAAGAUCUUGGGUACUUGGAAAACGACGUUUUCCAAGAGCUAAGCGAGACUUACGAUCAUAUUGCAAGACAAAUCUAUCGCUUAUUAGACAACUGGAAAUAAUCGAACAUCGUGCAUCGAAUAUCGAACCUCGAUAAGGGGUAGGGGAGCGUUCUAAAUGCAGCGAAGUUAGACCGUAAGGACUAGUGGAGCGUUUAGAAGUGAGAAUGCCGGUAUGAGUAUGCGAAAAGACAAGUGAGAAUCUUGUCCGCCGAAAAUCUAAGGAUUCCUGGGGAAGGCUCGUCCGCCCAGGGUAAGUCGGGACCUAAGCCGAGGCCGAAAGGCGUAGGUGAUGGACAACUGGUUGACAUUCCAGUACCACCGAGAAGCGUUUGAGCAAUGGGGUGACACAGAAGGAUAGGUUAAGCGUGCCGUUGG
This 1680-nucleotide non-coding RNA is filed under the name Desulfosporosinus sp. I2. RNAcentral's name for it is "Bacterial large subunit ribosomal RNA". It matches the Rfam family "Bacterial large subunit ribosomal RNA", at positions 380 to 1501 of the family's 2925-position model. Lineage: Bacteria; Bacillati; Bacillota; Clostridia; Eubacteriales; Desulfitobacteriaceae. The record is from Rfam by way of RNAcentral.